UACGUAGGGGGCAAGCGUUGUCCGGAAUGAUUGGGCGUAAAGAGCGUGUAGGCGGCUAGGUAGGUCCGUUGUGAAAACUCGAGGCUCAACCUCGAGACGUCGAUGGAAACCAUCUAGCUAGAGUCCGGAAGAGGAGAGUGGAAUUCCUGGUGUAGCGGUGAAAUGCGCAGAUAUCAGGAAGAACACCCGUGGCGAAGGCGGCUCUCUGGUACGUGACUGACGCUGAGACGCGAAAGCGUGGGGAGCAAACAGG
RNAcentral lists this ribosomal RNA (253 nucleotides) under uncultured bacterium. Its description in RNAcentral is "partial 16S ribosomal RNA". It matches the Rfam family "Bacterial small subunit ribosomal RNA", at positions 524 to 776 of the family's 1533-position model. The record is from RNAcentral.